This is a non-coding RNA of Parelaphostrongylus tenuis, 74 nucleotides long. The record is from the annotation of a GenBank genome assembly. Lineage: Eukaryota; Metazoa; Nematoda; Chromadorea; Rhabditida; Metastrongylidae.
GCCUCCGUAGUGUAGUGGCAGUAGCAUGUAUCCCCGAUAUGGAUGAAAAGCGAAUUCGAUUCCCGUCUGGGGCC